UUCAAACUUAAAAAUAAGCUUAUGGUAAAUACCUUGGUACUCAGAGACGAAGAAGGGCGUAAUAAAGUACGAAAAAGCUUUAAAUAAAUUUUAUAAAAUUUAAAGAUUCCCAAAUAGAUUAAUUUUUAAAACUGCCUUUAUAAGGUAAGAGAUAACCUGGAGAACUGAAACAUCUUAAUAUCCAGAGGAAAAUAAAACAAAAGUAAUUUCCUUAGUAGUGGUGAGCGAAAUGGAAAUAGUCUAAAUCAUUAAAAUGAUGUUGUAGGUAAGUUAUUAUGUAAAAUUACAAAAUAUUAUAGAUAAAACAGAUCAAAAUACUGUACCCUAGAUGGUUAAAGUCCAGUAGUCUAAAUAUAAAAAUCAUAUUUAUUACUUAAAUUAAGUAACUUAUCUAAGUAACAUGGAAUAAUUUAAUUCCGUGUGAAUCUACAAGAACCACCUUGUAAGACUAAAUACUCCUGAGUAACCGAUAGCGAACUAGUACCGUGAGGGAAAGGUAUAAUAUAUCUUUUAAAAGAUAUAUUUAAAUGAAACCAAAAGCUGUCAAUUUGUAGGAGGAGAAUUUCUCUGACUGCGUGCUUGUUGAAGAAGGAGCCAGCGACUCAUAAGUAAUGGCUUUGGUUAAGAAAAAGAUAAGUUGUAGCCAUAGCGAAAGCAAGUCUCUAACGGCAAUAAAUAUAUAUAAUAAAUAUUAUAAUGUCAUUACUUAUGUACCCGAAACUGGAUGAUCUAUCUAUGGUCAGGAUGAAAUUUAUUUAAAACUAAAUGGAGGUCCGAACCGACUGAUAAUGCAGAAUCAGCGGAUGAAUUGUGGAUAGCGGUGAAAUGCCACUCGAACCCAGAGCUAGCUGGUUCCCCCCGAAAUGUGUCGAAGCACAGCAGUUAAUUAUUAUAACAGGGGUAAAGCACUGUUUUAAUUUUAAAUUUUAUACAAACUAAGAAUACUGUACAAUUAAAAAUUAACUAGUGAGACAAUGGGGGAUAAGCUUCAUUGUCAAGAGGGAAACAGCCCAGAUCAUUAGUUAAGGCCCUUAAAUUAUUAGUAAGUGGAUAAGGAUGUGAAAGUGCAUAGACAGUCAGAAGGUUUGCUUGGAAGCAGCUAUCCUUUAAAGAGUGCGUAAAAGCUCACUGAUAAAGUGUUUUUGUGCCGAAAAUACACGGGUCUAAACUAAUAUGCCGAAACUAUGAGAUUAAAAAUCGGUAGGGGGGCGUUCUGUUUAAAUUUAUGUCAGAAGUGAGAAUGUUGGCUUGAGUAACGAAAACAUAGGUGAGAAUCCUAUGCCCCGAAAAUCUAAGGAUUCUUUCGAAAUAUUUAUAUGCGAAAGUUUAGUCAGGACCUAAGACAAGGCCGAAAGGCGUAGUUGAUGGAUUACAGGUUUAUAUUCCUGUACUAUUUAUUUAUUGUCAUUGUUAGGGACGAAGAAGGCUAGUUUAGCUGAUAAAUGGUUAUUCAGUUUAAAGAUAUAAGCAAAAAAAAUUAAAUAUUUUGUAAAUUCUGAAAAUUAUACUAGUAUAUUAAAUACGGUUUAUGUAUUUUUAUUUGUAUUAAUAUAACUGAGGUCAUACUUCCAGGAAAAACUAACUUGACAAAAAUAAAUAAAUACCUGUACCGUAAACCGACACAGGUAGAUGAGUAGAGAAUACUAAGGGGAUCGAGAUAACUCUCUCUAAGGAACUCGGCAAAAUAGCCCUGUAACUUCGGGAAAAAGGGUGUCCUUAAAAAGGAUUGCAAUAACCAGGCCCAGACGACUGUUUAACAAAAACACAAGUCUCCGCAAAGUCGUAAGACCAUGUAUGGGGGCUGACGCCUGCCCAGUGCUGUAAGGUAAAAGAAGUUGGUGACCUGAACCAGGAAAGCUAGCAAUCUAAAUCUCAGUAAACGGCGGCCGUAACUAUAACGGUCCUAAGGUAGCAAAAUUCCUUGUCGGGUAAGUUCCGACCCGCAUGAAAGGCGUAACGAUCUAGGCACUGUCUCGGAGAGAGACUCGGUGAAAUAAAAAUGUCUGUGAAGAUGCGGACUAUUCACACCAGGACAGAAAGACCCUAUGAAGCUUUACUGUUCCCUGUGAUUGAUGUUGGUCUUUUUUGUAAAAUAUAGGUGGGAGGCAAUAUAUUCUCGUAUUAAGUCAUCAGUGAAAUACCACCCUAAUUAAGCUUAACUUCUAACUUGCUUUUUUAGCAAGGACAGUCUUUGGUAGACAGUUUAUAUGGGGCGUAGGCCUCCAAAAAAGUAACGGAGGCGUGCAAAAAAGGUUUUCUUAAAUCUAAUUUAUGAUUUUUAAGUGUAAAGGCAAAAGAAAGCCUAACUGUGAGACAAACAAGUCAAGCAGGAACGAAAGUUGGUCUUAGUGAUCCGAUGGUACCAAGUGGAUAGGGCCAUCGCUUAUCGGAUAAAAGUUACUCUAGGGAUAACAGGCUGAUCUUCCCCAAAAGUCCACAUCGACGGGAAGGUUUGGCACCUCGAUGUCGGCUCAUCGCCACCUGGAGCUGAAGGAGGUUCCAAGGGUUGGGCUGUUCGCCCAUUAAAGCGGUACGUGAGCUGGGUUCAGAACGUCGCGAGACAGUUCGGUCCAUAUCCGGUGUGAACGUUGGAGUAUUGAUGUUAAUUGUUCUUAGUACGAGAGGACCAGAACGAACGCACCACUUGUGUACUAGUUAUUAUUCCAAUAGUAAACGCUAGGUAGCUAUGUGCGUAAUGAACAACUGCUGAAAGCAUAUAAGUAGUAAGUUUAAACAAAGAUGAGUG
Molecule: ribosomal RNA, 2746 nt
Filed under: Prosopanche panguanensis
Lineage: Eukaryota; Viridiplantae; Streptophyta; Magnoliopsida; Piperales; Hydnoraceae
Description: 23S ribosomal RNA
Rfam family: Bacterial large subunit ribosomal RNA
Source: RNAcentral